CAUUGGAAACUGGUAACCUAGAGUAUGGGAGGGGGAGAUGGAAUUAGUGGUGUAGGGGUAAAAUCCGUAGAUAUCACUAGGAAUACCGAAAGCGAAGGCGAUCUCCUGGAACAAUACUGACGCUAAGGCGUGAAAGCGUGGGGAGCAAACGGGAUUAGAUACCCCGGUAGUCCACGCCCUAAACGAUGUUCACUAGUCGUCGGAAUGCUAGUCAUUUCGGUGAUGCACUUAACAGAUUAAGUGAACCGCCUGGGGAGUACAGUCGCAAGAUUAAAACUCAAAGGAAUAGACGGGGACCCGCACAAGUGGUGGAGCAUGUGGUUUAAUUCGAAGAUACGCGAAGAACCUUACCUAGCCUUGACAUUGAUAGAAUCUGGUAGAGAUACCGGAGUGCCUUUCGAGGAACUUGAAAACAGGUGCUGCACGGCUGUCGUCAGCUCGUGUCGUGAGAUGUUGGGUUAAGUCCCGCAACGAGCGCAACCCUCGUCGUUAGUUGCUAACAGUUCGGCUGAGCACUCUAGCGAGACUGCCUUCGCAAGGAGGAGGAAGGUGAGGACGACGUCAAGUCAUCAUGGCCCUUAUGGCUAGGGCUACACACGUGCUACAAUGGGGCGUACAGAGAGUUGCGAUACCGCGAGGUGGAGCUAAUCUCAUAAAGCGUCUCUCAGUUCGGAUUGAUCUCUGCAACUCGAGAUCAUGAAGCUGGAAUCACUAGUAAUCGUAGAUCAGCAAUGCUACGGUGAAUACGUUCCCGGGUCUUGUACUCACCGCCCGUCACACCAUGGGAGUUGAUUUCACCCGAAAUCGGGAAGCGAACCUUCGGGACGCUACCGCUU
RNAcentral lists this ribosomal RNA (836 nucleotides) under uncultured bacterium. RNAcentral's name for it is "bacterial SSU rRNA". It matches the Rfam family "Bacterial small subunit ribosomal RNA", at positions 624 to 1458 of the family's 1533-position model. The record is from RNAcentral.